Molecule: ribosomal RNA, 1501 nt
Filed under: uncultured bacterium
Lineage: Bacteria
Description: bacterial SSU rRNA
Rfam family: Bacterial small subunit ribosomal RNA
Source: RNAcentral
GACGAACGCUGGCGGCGUGCCUAAUACAUGCAAGUAGAACGCUGAAGAGAGGAGCUUGCUCUUCUUGGAUGAGUUGCGAACGGGUGAGUAACGCGUAGGUAACCUGCCUUGUAGCGGGGGAUAACUAUCGGAAACGAUAGCUAAUACCGCAUAACAAUAGGUGACACAUGUCAUUUAUUUGAAAGGGGCAAUUGCUCCACUACAAGAUGGACCUGCGUUGUAUUAGCUAGUAGGUGAGGUAACGGCUCACCUAGGCGACGAUACAUAGCCGACCUGAGAGGGUGAUCGGCCACACUGGGACUGAGACACGGCCCAGACUCCUACGGGAGGCAGCAGUAGGGAAUCUUCGGCAAUGGGGGCAACCCUGACCGAGCAACGCCGCGUGAGUGAAGAAGGUUUUCGGAUCGUAAAGCUCUGUUGUAAGUCAAGAACGAGUGUGAGAGUGGAAAGUUCACACUGUGACGGUAGCUUACCAGAAAGGGACGGCUAACUACGUGCCAGCAGCCGCGGUAAUACGUAGGUCCCGAGCGUUGUCCGGAUUUAUUGGGCGUAAAGCGAGCGCAGGCGGUUUGAUAAGUCUGAAGUUAAAGGCUGUGGCUCAACCAUAGUUCGCUUUGGAAACUGUCAAACUUGAGUGCAGAAGGGGAGAGUGGAAUUCCAUGUGUAGCGGUGAAAUGCGUAGAUAUAUGGAGGAACACCGGUGGCGAAAGCGGCUCUCUGGUCUGUAACUGACGCUGAGGCUCGAAAGCGUGGGGAGCGAACAGGAUUAGAUACCCUGGUAGUCCACGCCGUAAACGAUGAGUGCUAGGUGUUGGAUCCUUCCCGGGAUUCAGUGCCGCAGCUAACGCAUUAAGCACUCCGCCUGGGGAGUACGACCGCAAGGUUGAAACUCAAAGGAAUUGACGGGGGCCCGCACAAGCGGUGGAGCAUGUGGUUUAAUUCGAAGCAACGCGAAGAACCUUACCAGGCCUUGACAUCCCGAUGCUAUUUCUAGAGAUAGAAAGUUACUUCGGUACAUCGGUGACAGGUGGUGCAUGGUUGUCGUCAGCUCGUGUCGUGAGAUGUUGGGUUAAGUCCCGCAACGAGCGCAACCCCUAUUNGUUAGUUGCCAUCAUUCAGUUGAGCACUCUAGCGAGACUGCCGGUAAUAAACCGGAGGAAGGUGGGGAUGACGUCAAAUCAUCAUGCCCCUUAUGACCUGGGCUACACACGUGCUACAAUGGUUGGUACAACGAGUUGCGAGUCGGUGACGGCAAGCUAAUCUCUUAAAGCCAAUCUCAGUUCGGAUUGUAGGCUGCAACUCGCCUACAUGAAGUCGGAAUCGCUAGUAAUCGCGGAUCAGCACGCCGCGGUGAAUACGUUCCCGGGCCUUGUACACACCGCCCGUCACACUACGAGAGUUUGUAACACCCGAAGUCGGUGAGGUAACCUUUUGGAGCCAGCCGCCUAAGGUGGGAUAGAUGAUUGGGGUGAAGUCGUAACAAGGUAGCCGUAUCGGAAGG